AUACAUCUGUGUCAUGUAUCACCAAGAUCACAAAGGUGGUUCUCCCAGGGGGAAGCUCGUUCCUUGCCCUCCGGAUGUGCUGGCUCUUGGAGUUCCCCCAGUGGCAGAUACUUGACUGCACAGUUUGUGGUAGUGGGGACUGCAUUUACACUCUCCCCAU
RNAcentral lists this small nuclear RNA (160 nucleotides) under Meriones unguiculatus (Mongolian gerbil). RNAcentral describes it as "U1 spliceosomal RNA (ENSMUGG00000002158.1)". It matches the Rfam family "U1 spliceosomal RNA". From Rfam's summary of the family: U1 is a small nuclear RNA (snRNA) component of the spliceosome (involved in pre-mRNA splicing). The record is from RNAcentral. Lineage: Eukaryota; Metazoa; Chordata; Mammalia; Rodentia; Muridae.